Molecule: long non-coding RNA, 336 nt
Filed under: Hordeum vulgare
Lineage: Eukaryota; Viridiplantae; Streptophyta; Magnoliopsida; Poales; Poaceae
Description: long non-coding RNA (HVUL_LNC016810)
Source: RNAcentral
UCACUUAAGGACCCAGAUUAAAAGGGCCUUGAGCUAGAUGUGACGGUGUUCCGUGAGAAGCAUGGGAAGGGAGCAGAGAGGGUUGUUACAUUUGAAGGAACAUACACUCAGAGAAGGUUCUUAGCAUGUGCAGAGCCUAUAUGUUUUUUGCCUUAUUGAUUAUGCACAUGAUUUUGUUCAUUUGAGUACUCUGUUCAUUCAAAGUGGCAUAGUCUGGUUUGAUAACUGUGAUUCAGUAAUGUCAAUUGUUAGUGAUAUAUGGCCAAGUAGUUGAAUGGUAGUGCACAUUGUAGAAUUCCAUUAUAUUAAAAUGGUCAAUUCUAAGUUGAAUGUAGU